This 465-nucleotide ribosomal RNA is filed under the name uncultured bacterium. RNAcentral describes it as "partial 16S ribosomal RNA". It matches the Rfam family "Bacterial small subunit ribosomal RNA", at positions 338 to 795 of the family's 1533-position model. The record is from RNAcentral.
CCUACGUGUGGCAGCAGUGGGGAAUAUUGCGCAAUGGGCGAAAGCCUGACGCAGCGACGCCGCGUGAGGGAUGAAGGUCUUCGGAUCGUAAACCUCUGUCAGCAGGGAAGAACGGUCACUGUGCUAAUCAGCAGUGAAUUGACGGUACCUGCAAAGGAAGCACCGGCUAACUCCGUGCCAGCAGCCGCGGUAAUACGGAGGGUGCGAGCGUUAAUCGGAAUUACUGGGCGUAAAGCGCUCGUAGGCGGUAUGUCAAGUCAAGGGUGAAAUCCCCGCGCUCAACGUGGGAACUGCCUUUGAAACUGGCAAACUGGAGUGGGUGAGAGGAUAGUGGAAUUCCAGGUGUAGGAGUGAAAUCCGUAGAGAUCUGGAGGAACAUCAGUGGCGAAGGCGACUAUCUGGCACAUAACUGACGCUGAGGAGCGAAAGCGUGGGUAGCAAACAGGAUUAGAUACCCCAGUAGUC